This 750-nucleotide ribosomal RNA is filed under the name Streptomyces plicatus. RNAcentral's name for it is "bacterial SSU rRNA". It matches the Rfam family "Bacterial small subunit ribosomal RNA", at positions 154 to 915 of the family's 1533-position model. The record is from RNAcentral. Lineage: Bacteria; Bacillati; Actinomycetota; Actinomycetes; Kitasatosporales; Streptomycetaceae.
AAACGGGGUCUAAUACCGGAUACUGAUCCUCGCAGGCAUCUGCGAGGUUCGAAAGCUCCGGCGGUGCAGGAUGAGCCCGCGGCCUAUCAGCUAGUUGGUGAGGUAACGGCUCACCAAGGCGACGACGGGUAGCCGGCCUGAGAGGGCGACCGGCCACACUGGGACUGAGACACGGCCCAGACUCCUACGGGAGGCAGCAGUGGGGAAUAUUGCACAAUGGGCGAAAGCCUGAUGCAGCGACGCCGCGUGAGGGAUGACGGCCUUCGGGUUGUAAACCUCUUUCAGCAGGGAAGAAGCGAAAGUGACGGUACCUGCAGAAGAAGCGCCGGCUAACUACGUGCCAGCAGCCGCGGUAAUACGUAGGGCGCAAGCGUUGUCCGGAAUUAUUGGGCGUAAAGAGCUCGUAGGCGGCUUGUCACGUCGGUUGUGAAAGCCCGGGGCUUAACCCCGGGUCUGCAGUCGAUACGGGCAGGCUAGAGUUCGGUAGGGGAGAUCGGAAUUCCUGGUGUAGCGGUGAAAUGCGCAGAUAUCAGGAGGAACACCGGUGGCGAAGGCGGAUCUCUGGGCCGAUACUGACGCUGAGGAGCGAAAGCGUGGGGAGCGAACAGGAUUAGAUACCCUGGUAGUCCACGCCGUAAACGGUGGGCACUAGGUGUGGGCAACAUUCCACGUUGUCCGUGCCGCAGCUAACGCAUUAAGUGCCCCGCCUGGGGAGUACGGCCGCAAGGCUAAUACUCAUAGGAAUUGACG